CAGUAGCCGCGGGAAUACGUAGGUGGCAAGCGUUGUCCGGAAUUAUUGGGCGUAAAGGGCUCGCAGGCGGUUUCUUAAGUCUGAUGUGAAAGCCCCCGGCUCAACCGGGGAGGGUCAUUGGAAACUGGGAAACUUGAGUGCAGAAGAGGAGAGCGGAAUUCCACGUGUAGCGGUGAAAUGCGUAGAGAUGUGGAGGAACACCAGUGGCGAAGGCGACUCUCUGGUCUGUAACUGACGCUGAGGAGCGAAAGCGUGGGGAGCGAACAGGAUUAGAUACCCCCGUAGUCCCUGUCUCUUAUAC
RNAcentral lists this ribosomal RNA (301 nucleotides) under uncultured bacterium. RNAcentral's name for it is "partial 16S ribosomal RNA". It matches the Rfam family "Bacterial small subunit ribosomal RNA", at positions 509 to 807 of the family's 1533-position model. The record is from RNAcentral.